This 486-nucleotide ribosomal RNA is filed under the name Lysinibacillus fusiformis. RNAcentral's name for it is "bacterial SSU rRNA". It matches the Rfam family "Bacterial small subunit ribosomal RNA", at positions 38 to 496 of the family's 1533-position model. The record is from RNAcentral. Lineage: Bacteria; Bacillati; Bacillota; Bacilli; Caryophanales; Bacillaceae.
CGGGAAGGGCGGGCGGUCUAUACAUGCAAGUCGAGCGAACGGAGCACAGGAGCUUGCUCCUUUGACGUUAGCGGCGGACGGGUGAGUAACACGUGGGCAACCUACCUUAUAGUUUGGGAUAACUCCGGGAAACCGGGGCUAAUACCGAAUAAUCUGUUUCACCUCAUGGUGAAAUAUUGAAAGACGGUUUCGGCUGUCGCUAUAGGAUGGGCCCGCGGCGCAUUAGCUAGUUGGUGAGGUAACGGCUCACCAAGGCGACGAUGCGUAGCCGACCUGAGAGGGUGAUCGGCCACACUGGGACUGAGACACGGCCCAGACUCCUACGGGAGGCAGCAGUAGGGAAUCUUCCACAAUGGGCGAAAGCCUGAUGGAGCAACGCCGCGUGAGUGAAGAAGGAUUUCGGUUCGUAAAACUCUGUUGUAAGGGAAGAACAAUUACAUUAUUUAACUGGCUGUACCUUGACGGUACCUUAUUAGAUGGCCAGGG